UUUUUGAAAAAUUCCGCUCCUGAACUUUAUGGAGACAUUUGAAGAUUCUUUGUUUUGUAAUAGAUAUGAACUUGACCUUUAGAAUAUUUCUUCUCGUUUAAAAUAAAUUAUAAUAUUACUUACACAGAUAACUACAAACUAUUGACUACAUAAACGCCUUAUAAAUCAAAUACUCAAUAACUACAAAAUAAAAUAAAUCUGAAUUAGAUUGUUGAUAUUUGGACUAGUGGAUUUUGACAAAGUUAGAGUAAUAUUUAAUAAUGUUCUACCUGUCAUAUUAGCACAUACCCCGGCGGGAGCUUCAGCACGUCAACUCACACAUUAUGCACAACUGAUGAAACGCGAUCGGUGGUUUGGAAUGUA
Daktulosphaira vitifoliae (grape phylloxera) is the source of this 363-nucleotide long non-coding RNA. RefSeq lists it as uncharacterized. NCBI's taxonomy places the organism in Eukaryota, Metazoa, Arthropoda, Insecta, Hemiptera, Phylloxeridae. The transcript is spliced from 3 exons. The record is from RefSeq and is a predicted model, not a curated record.